UAAGCCUGCUAGUUGUGCGGGUUUUAGACCCGCAGCGGAAAGCUCAGUAACACGUGGCCAAGCUACCCUGUGGACGGGAAUACUCUCGGGAAACUGAGGCUAAUCCCCGAUAACGCUUUGCUCCUGGAAGGGGCAAAGCCGGAAACGCUCCGGCGCCACAGGAUGCGGCUGCGGUCGAUUAGGUAGACGGUGGGGUAACGGCCCACCGUGCCCAUAAUCGGUACGGGUUGUGAGAGCAAGAGCCCGGAGACGGAAUCUGAGACAAGAUUCCGGGCCCUACGGGGCGCAGCAGGCGCGAAACCUUUACACUGUACGAAAGUGCGAUAAGGGGACUCCGAGUGUGAAGGCAUAGAGCCUUCACUUUUGUACACCGUAAGGUGGUGCACGAAUAAGGACUGGGCAAGACCGGUGCCAGCCGCCGCGGUAAUACCGGCAGUCCGAGUGAUGGCCGAUCUUAUUGGGCCUAAAGCGUCCGUAGCUGGCUGAACAAGUCCGUUGGGAAAUCUGUCCGCUUAACGGGCAGGCGUCCAGCGGAAACUGUUCAGCUUGGGACCGGAAGACCUGAGGGGUACGUCUGGGGUAGGAGUGAAAUCCUGUAAUCCUGGACGGACCGCCGGUGGCGAAAGCGCCUCAGGAGAACGGAUCCGACAGUGAGGGACGAAAGCUAGGGUCUCGAACCGGAUUAGAUACCCGGGUAGUCCUAGCUGUAAACGAUGUCCGCUAGGUGUGGCGCAGGCUACGAGCCUGCGCUGUGCCGUAGGGAAGCCGAGAAGCGGACCGCCUGGGAAGUACGUCUGCAAGGAUGAAACUUAAAGGAAUUGGCGGGGGAGCACUACAACCGGAGGAGCCUGCGGUUUAAUUGGACUCAACGCCGGACAUCUCACCAGCCCCGACAGUAGUAAUGACGGUCAGGUUGAUGACCUUACCCGAGGCUACUGAGAGGAGGUGCAUGGCCGCCGUCAGCUCGUACCGUGAGGCGUCCUGUUAAGUCAGGCAACGAGCGAGACCCGCACUCCUAAUUGCCAGCAGUACCCUUUGGGUAGCUGGGUACAUUAGGUGGACUGCCGCUGCCAAAGCGGAAGAAGGAACGGGCAACGGUAGGUCAGUAUGCCCCGAAUGGGCUGGGCAACACGCGGGCUACAAUGGUC
Molecule: ribosomal RNA, 1148 nt
Filed under: Halobacterium salinarum
Lineage: Archaea; Methanobacteriati; Methanobacteriota; Halobacteria; Halobacteriales; Halobacteriaceae
Description: bacterial SSU rRNA
Rfam family: Archaeal small subunit ribosomal RNA
Source: RNAcentral